RNAcentral lists this ribosomal RNA (497 nucleotides) under uncultured bacterium. RNAcentral describes it as "partial 16S ribosomal RNA". It matches the Rfam family "Bacterial small subunit ribosomal RNA", at positions 28 to 507 of the family's 1533-position model. The record is from RNAcentral.
GAUGAACGCUGGCGGCGUGCCUAAUACAUGCAAGUCGAGCGAACAGACGAGGAGCUUGCUCCUUUGACGUUAGCGGCGGACGGGUGAGUAACACGUGGGUAACCUACCUAUAAGACUGGGAUAACUUCGGGAAACCGGAGCUAAUACCGGAUAAUAUUUCGAACCGCAUGUUUCGAUAGUGAAAGAUGGCUUUGCUAUCACUUAUAGAUGGACCUGCGCCGUAUUAGCUAGUUGGUAAGGUAACGGCUUACCAAGGCAACGAUACGUAGCCGACAUGAGAGGGUGAUCGGCCACACUGGAACUGAGACACGGUCCAGACUCCUACGGGAGGCAGCAGUAGGGAAUCUUCCGCAAUGGGCGAAAGCCUGACGGAGCAACGCCGCGUGAGUGAUGAAGGUAUUCGGAUCGUAAAACUCUGUUAUUAGGGAAGAACAAACGUGUAAGUAACUGUGCACGUCUUGACGGUACCUAAUCAGAAAGCCACGGCUAACUACGUG